This 334-nucleotide ribosomal RNA is filed under the name uncultured bacterium. RNAcentral's name for it is "partial 16S ribosomal RNA". It matches the Rfam family "Bacterial small subunit ribosomal RNA", at positions 338 to 669 of the family's 1533-position model. The record is from RNAcentral.
CCUACGGGAGGCAGCAGUGAGGAAUAUUGGUCAAUGGGCGCGAGCCUGAACCAGCCAAGUAGCGUGAAGGAUGACUGCCCUACGGGUUGUAAACUUCUUUUAUAAAGGAAUAAAGUGAGGCACGUGUGCCUUUUUGUAUGUACUUUAUGAAUAAGGAUCGGCUAACUCCGUGCCAGCAGCCGCGGUAAUACGGAGGAGCCGAGCGUUAUCCGGAUUUAGUGGGUUUAAAGGGAGCGUAGAUGGGUUGUUAAGUCAGUUGUGUAAGUUUGCGGCUCAACCGUAAAAUUGCAAUUGCUACUGGCAGUCUUGAGUACAGUUGAGGUCGUCGGCAUUC